RNAcentral lists this long non-coding RNA (384 nucleotides) under Equus caballus (horse). RNAcentral's name for it is "lncRNA (ENSECAG00000034443.3)". The record is from RNAcentral. Lineage: Eukaryota; Metazoa; Chordata; Mammalia; Perissodactyla; Equidae.
GCAAACUGCUCCCGCAUCUGUGAGAUGAAAGACUUCCUCUUGUCUUAUUGACCAGAAUUAGGACACACGGCCAGUCCUAGCUGCGAAGAAAGCUUGGAAAUUGGAGGGUAAGAUUAUUAUAAGCACUUGGACCAGUCAUGAUCCAUGACCAGGAACUGGGCCCACUGCCACCCACACAAAGUCAUGGUUCCAUCAGCAAGAGAGAAGGGGGAAAUUAGUCAACAAAAGAUGCAGGGCUUACUUGACUAUAACCUACAGAAGAUGGUUUCUCCGGUGGCACACUACUGCCUUCUUUCCACCCUUCAACUGCCGAAAAAGAAAGCACCAUUGGAAGACGUUGGGUUUAAUUCAUUGUUGUUUUUUAUGCUGAAUACUCACUAAAGC